This 563-nucleotide ribosomal RNA is filed under the name uncultured bacterium. RNAcentral describes it as "partial 16S ribosomal RNA". It matches the Rfam family "Bacterial small subunit ribosomal RNA", at positions 355 to 911 of the family's 1533-position model. The record is from RNAcentral.
UGGGGAAUUUUGGACAAUGGGCGAAAGCCUGAUCCAGCAAUGCCGCGUGUGUGAAGAAGGCCUUCGGGUUGUAAAGCACUUUUGUCCGGAAAGAAAUCCUUGGCUCUAAUACAGUCGGGGGAUGACGGUACCGGAAGAAUAAGCACCGGCUAACUACGUGCCAGCAGCCGCGGUAAUACGUAGGGUGCAAGCGUUAAUCGGAAUUACUGGGCGUAAAGCGUGCGCAGGCGGUUUGCUAAGACCGAUGUGAAAUCCCCGGGCUCAACCUGGGAACUGCAUUGGUGACUGGCAGGCUAGAGUAUGGCAGAGGGGGGUAGAAUUCCACGUGUAGCAGUGAAAUGCGUAGAGAUGUGGAGGAAUACCGAUGGCGAAGGCAGCCCCCUGGGCCAAUACUGACGCUCAUGCACGAAAGCGUGGGGAGCAAACAGGAUUAGAUACCCUGGUAGUCCACGCCCUAAACGAUGUCAACUAGUUGUUGGGGGAUUCAUUUCCUUAGUAACGUAGCUAACGCGUGAAGUUGACCGCCUGGGGAUACGGUCGCAAGAUUAAAACUCAAAGGAAUU